This is a long non-coding RNA of Fukomys damarensis (Damara mole-rat), 403 nucleotides long. RefSeq lists it as uncharacterized. The transcript has 3 exons. Lineage: Eukaryota; Metazoa; Chordata; Mammalia; Rodentia; Bathyergidae. The record is from RefSeq and is a predicted model, not a curated record.
CUGAGAGUCCGCAUGGGGGAGGGGUCACUUCCAUGGGGGGGCACACAGGGCUGUAAGGAACAUUCUAGAAUCACUGGAGCUGCAGGAAAGGCAGGGAGAGGGUGAAAUGGAACAAGAUGUUCAGGUGGUUGUUCUGGUACCACUGCAACUCCCUGGUGUGGACAGGGAGGGGACGUGACUGAUACUGAACCCUGUGUCUCCACCAUCCAGUGCCCACCACACUACUUCCCAGAGGACCAGCAAUCCCUCAGAGCUGCAUGGUACCACCAGUCUCAAAGUCAAGAGCCACCAAGGAGACAAGUCGGAGGACACAGUCGGAGGAGGAGGAAGGGGGAAAUUGACUCCAAAUUUUCCUGAGGGUCUUGAAGAUACAAUACGUCUGCACAUUAAGCCCAUGCUUUUC